Long non-coding RNA from Schistocerca americana (American grasshopper), 530 nucleotides. RefSeq lists it as uncharacterized. The transcript has 3 exons. The record is from RefSeq and is a predicted model, not a curated record. Lineage: Eukaryota; Metazoa; Arthropoda; Insecta; Orthoptera; Acrididae.
UGAGUGUAUCGGUGUUUGUUAUUCAUGUUUGAUCUCGAUGCAACGAGUGCAAGAAGAUGAACAUGUGCAUACCAAUGUGGAAAUGAGUACCUGAAAGUGCGAAAAACGUUUCGCACAUGUGCGACAAUUUAGAAACAGAUGCAAAGUGCACGAAAAUGUGGGGAAACCCCCACCUGUGCUGGAAUCUCUGAUAUGUGGUAGUUCCUCUCAAAACGUUUACUUUUUAAUUGUUAUGAUCUGUGAUUGCCGGUGGUAGCAGAGGUUUCCUCACCUAAUUUUUUGCUGUGUUGGUGUAUCCUUGGACCGUAACUUUCAUCCUGCCGACUCCCGUUACGUCAAACCGUGACAUGCCGCGAAGGAAAGGCCACGGAGUGUCCCCCGCAAAACGAGCCCAAGUAAAUAAGGAUGAUCAUCAAGCAAAAAAGAAAUCAUUGGAGACUAAUGCGGAGGCUGUGGUCGCGGAACCCCGGGCACCUAACGGCAGCCACGAGGCCGUGUCCCCAGCGCAGAGGGACAAGUCGCCACAGCAG